This 435-nucleotide ribosomal RNA is filed under the name uncultured bacterium. RNAcentral's name for it is "bacterial SSU rRNA". It matches the Rfam family "Bacterial small subunit ribosomal RNA", at positions 355 to 796 of the family's 1533-position model. The record is from RNAcentral.
UCGAGGAUCUUCGGCAAUGGGCGCAAGCCUGACCGAGCGACGCCGCGUGCGCGAUGAAGGCCUUCGGGUUGUAAAGCGCUGUCGAGGGGGAGGAAAGCCCGCAAGGGCCUGACCUAUCCCUGGAGGAAGCACGGGCUAAGUUCGUGCCAGCAGCCGCGGUAAGACGAACCGUGCGAACGUUGUUCGGAAUCACUGGGCUUAAAGGGCGCGUAGGCGGGCAGUCAAGUCCGGGGUGAAAUCUUUCGGCUCAACCGGAAAAGGGCCUUGGAUACUGGCUGUCUGGAGGGAGGUAGGGGCAUGCGGAACUUCCGGUGGAGCGGUGAAAUGCGUUGAUAUCGGAAGGAACGCCGGUGGCGAAAGCGGCGUGCUGGACCUCUUCUGACGCUGAGGCGCGAAAGCCAGGGGAGCGAACGGGAUUAGAUACCCCCGUAGUCC